AAACAACACUCACUGCAGUAGAGAAGGACAGACACGCAAGGCAAAGGCAGCCCUUAGACUGAUGGGGAGCAAGGCGUUAUGAGGAAGCAUGUGGCGGCCAGUCCUGCUGCCGAAGGGGCGGCCCUCUCAUUCCCACAAAAGGUCACCAAACUGAGGCAAGGAUCUUCUACACCACUCCCUGCGUUUAAAUAUAUUGAACUUAAAAUAAUCAAGAAAAUGAGAUGGUUUCAAAAGCGCUGCUCUGAUACUAGAGCAUCUGGGGUCACCAGGAAAAUCAUACUGAUUUCUGCAGGAAGCAUCACAACCAAGAGAGGGCCUUUGAAAAUGCCACCCUAAGCAGAGCAGGCAGCAAGUAAAAUCUUUGUUAUUUAAGGUCAUGGCUGGAAGAGGAACUGCAAUGAAGUAUUUCAUUCAAUUAUCUAAAAAGCAAUUCACAAUUCACUACUUCUUUUUACUACAUCCUUACUUUGACUUAUUUUACUGUAAGAGGAGUAAGUACUCUAGUUUAUAAAAACAAAGCAAAAACCGACAAAAAAAUAAUAA
Molecule: non-coding RNA, 543 nt
Organism: Meleagris gallopavo (turkey)
Lineage: Eukaryota; Metazoa; Chordata; Aves; Galliformes; Phasianidae
Source: RefSeq, a predicted model, not a curated record